AGCAGUAUGGUGUACGGCUGCACACCGGGUUCAGUUGAUCUGUUCCCACACUCCUUAACCCGGAGGACCUUGUUCGACUCGAGGUACUGCUC
Molecule: non-coding RNA, 92 nt
Organism: Mycena polygramma
Lineage: Eukaryota; Fungi; Basidiomycota; Agaricomycetes; Agaricales; Mycenaceae
Source: the annotation of a GenBank genome assembly